Molecule: unclassified non-coding RNA, 362 nt
Filed under: uncultured fungus
Lineage: Eukaryota; Fungi
Description: partial contains 5.8S ribosomal RNA and internal transcribed spacer 2
Rfam family: 5.8S ribosomal RNA (bases 1-133)
Source: RNAcentral
UGGUUCUGGCAUCGAUGAAGAACGCAGCGAAAUGCGAUAAGUAAUGUGAAUUGCAGAAUUCAGUGAAUCAUCGAAUCUUUGAACGCACCUUGCGCCCUUUGGUAUUCCGAUGGGCAUGCCCGUUCGAGUGUCUUGAAAACCUCACCCCCUCCGGAUUUUGUCGUCCGGUGGAUGUGGGGGCCUGCUGCCGUCGAGGCGGCUCCCCCGAAAUGCAUCGGUCCGGGCCCGUAGCGGCUUUGCCCCUGGCGUUGUAAUGCAACCGCCUCCGUGGGUGCCGUCUCAGAGCCCGACCCCGACCGCCGGUUGUGUCGGCGGCCAACACUUCAACUUCUGACCUCGAAUCGGGUAGGACUACCCGCUGA